GGGGAUAUGGCUUAGUGGUAGAGUGCUUGCCUGGCAUGUGUGAGGCCCUGGGUUCAAUCCCCAGCCCCA
RNAcentral lists this transfer RNA (69 nucleotides) under Marmota marmota marmota (Alpine marmot). It matches the Rfam family "tRNA". Rfam says of the family: Transfer RNA (tRNA) molecules are approximately 80 nucleotides in length. Their secondary structure includes four short double-helical elements and three loops (D, anti-codon, and T loops). Further hydrogen bonds mediate the characteristic L-shaped molecular structure. tRNAs have two regions of fundamental functional importance: the anti-codon, which is responsible for specific mRNA codon recognition, and the 3' end, to which the tRNAs corresponding amino acid is attached (by aminoacyl-tRNA synthetases). tRNAs cope with the degeneracy of the genetic code in two manners: having more than one tRNA (with a specific anti-codon) for a particular amino acid; and 'wobble' base-pairing, i.e. permitting non-standard base-pairing at the 3rd anti-codon position. The record is from Rfam by way of RNAcentral. Lineage: Eukaryota; Metazoa; Chordata; Mammalia; Rodentia; Sciuridae. RNAcentral also lists the same sequence under 3 other names.